GAGCAUGUAGCUCAGUGGAAGAGUGGCAGACUCCGACUCUGUUGGACGAAGGUUCGAAUCCUUCCAUGCUCA
RNAcentral lists this transfer RNA (72 nucleotides) under Chattonella marina. RNAcentral describes it as "tRNA-Arg". It matches the Rfam family "tRNA". From Rfam's summary of the family: Transfer RNA (tRNA) molecules are approximately 80 nucleotides in length. Their secondary structure includes four short double-helical elements and three loops (D, anti-codon, and T loops). Lineage: Eukaryota; Raphidophyceae; Chattonellales; Chattonellaceae. The record is from RNAcentral.